AAAGCUCGUAGUUGAAUUUCUGGUCUUGGACACCGGUCUGCCUCAAACGAGGUACGUACCUGGCGUCUGAGUCCAUCUUCGGGGAAAACAUAUCUGUGAUUAAGUUCAUGGGUAUGGGAUCCUCGUCAUUUACUGUGAGCAAAAUAGAGUGUUCAAAGCAGGCUUAUGCCGUUGAAUACAUUAGCAUGGAAUAAU
RNAcentral lists this ribosomal RNA (195 nucleotides) under uncultured heterokont. RNAcentral describes it as "partial 18S ribosomal RNA". It matches the Rfam family "Eukaryotic small subunit ribosomal RNA", at positions 623 to 818 of the family's 1831-position model. The record is from RNAcentral.